Leguminivora glycinivorella is the source of this 481-nucleotide long non-coding RNA. RefSeq lists it as uncharacterized. NCBI's taxonomy places the organism in Eukaryota, Metazoa, Arthropoda, Insecta, Lepidoptera, Tortricidae. The record is from RefSeq and is a predicted model, not a curated record. The transcript has 2 exons.
AAUAUAUCUAUCGGUGUUGAACCCCAAGAAGUUAUACUGUGCCUUUAUACAUGGUACGCCACAGACCGCGCAGUAUAUAAGAGCUGCGCGGGAGUGAAUGUAUCAUACGGCACCAUGAAGUGGCUUUUGGCGUUCUGUGUGGUCGUCGCACUAGUGUGCGUCGCGCUGGGUCAAGAUUACCACAGCCGCUACGCCGAACUAGCGUCCCCAGUACCAAGAAAUGUAGACGUACGUCAACUGGUCGACACCCUAAGAUCUGCUCAAAGGGACUAGGUUCCUGCAAAAUGGCCGCGGCAUCCAUCUUGCUUCACCCGCCAUCUUGAAUUGUCUGUCACCUGCGGCUCACUUUUCGGUUAUCUCCCACUAGAUGUAAAUUUGGAAUUAUUUAGUAUUGUAAGUAGAUAUUUUAUUGUUAUUGGCGAUGUUUUUGAUGUUUUUAUUUAUUGUAUUAAAGUUACGAGGUGUGCUUUAGUCGAACAAA